AUGCUUUCUGGGUGCAGCAUGGAACCUGAAGGAAUGGAGGGUGAUGAAAGAGAAACAGGCGCCCAGGCUAAGCUAGCAACAUUCAGGGCUUACUCCUGACUCUGCACUCUGGUGGUGCUAAGGGGAUCAUCUGAGAUGCAGAGGAUUAAACCUGAAAUCAGAAAGACCUUGAGGAACCAGGGCAAUAUUACAGAAGGUAGGAAGUUUACCUCACAUGCAACCGAGCCAGGUUUGAUCCCAGGCAUCCCAGAUGGUCUCCCAAACACUGCCGGAAGUGAUUCCUGAGUACAAAGACAGUAGUUAACCUGAGCAGAGUCAGA
Long non-coding RNA from Sorex fumeus (smoky shrew), 320 nucleotides. RefSeq lists it as uncharacterized. The transcript is spliced from 3 exons. NCBI's taxonomy places the organism in Eukaryota, Metazoa, Chordata, Mammalia, Eulipotyphla, Soricidae. The record is from RefSeq and is a predicted model, not a curated record.